UCAGGAUGAACGCUAGCUACAGGCUUAACACAUGCGAAGUCGAGGGGCAGCAUUGGAGUAGCAAUACUCAGAUGGCGACCGGCGCACGGGUGAGUAACACGUAUCCAACCUGCCGCUUACUCGGGGAUAGCCUUCGAAAGAAAGAUUAAUACCCGAUGGUAUAAAGAGUUCGCAUGUUCUCUUUAUUAAAGAAUUUCGGUAAGCGAUGGGGAUGCGUUCCAUUAGAUUGUUGGCGGGGUAACGGCCCACCAAGUCUACGAUGGAUAGGGGUUCUGAGAGGAAGGUCCCCCACAUUGGAACUGAGACACGGUCCAAACUCCUACGGGAGGCAGCAGUGAGGAAUAUUGGUCAAUGGACGAGAGUCUGAACCAGCCAAAAGUAGCGUGAAGGAUGACUGCCCUAUGGGUUGUAAACUUCUUUUAUAAGGGAAUAAAGUGAGGGACGUGUCCCUUUUUGUAUGUACCUUAUGAAUAAGGAUCGGCUAACUCCGUGCCAGCCGCCGC
RNAcentral lists this ribosomal RNA (503 nucleotides) under uncultured bacterium. RNAcentral describes it as "bacterial SSU rRNA". It matches the Rfam family "Bacterial small subunit ribosomal RNA", at positions 24 to 518 of the family's 1533-position model. The record is from RNAcentral.